CACGUAGGCGGCCUGGUAAGUCAGAUGUGAAAGCCCGGGGCUUAACCCCGGAAGUGCAUUUGAUACUGUCAGGCUUGAGUAUGGGAGAGGGAAGUGGAAUUCCUGGUGUAGAGGUGAAAUUCGUAGAUAUCAGGAGGAACACCGGUGGCGAAGGCGACUUCCUGGACCAAUACUGGCGCUGAGGUGCGAAGGCGUGGGUAGCAAACA
Molecule: ribosomal RNA, 207 nt
Filed under: uncultured bacterium
Lineage: Bacteria
Description: partial 16S ribosomal RNA
Rfam family: Bacterial small subunit ribosomal RNA
Source: RNAcentral